This 23-nucleotide small nuclear RNA is filed under the name Arabidopsis thaliana (thale cress). RNAcentral describes it as "snRNA_14611". Lineage: Eukaryota; Viridiplantae; Streptophyta; Magnoliopsida; Brassicales; Brassicaceae. The record is from RNAcentral.
GGUGAACAAACUUCAUUCACCCC